AUGGCAUCGGUGCUAGUGCUCGGUGCCAUUGCACUCAUGCUGAACCUUGCAUCUAUAUCAUCAGCGCAGCCUCACCGCGGAUGCAAAACGCGGUGCGGUGACAUAGAGAUUCCCUAUCCAUUUGGCAUUGGUGCCGGCUGUGCUAUCGAACAAGGCUUCGAGAUCAGCUGCAGCAGGACUGCCAAUGGGAUCGAGAGGCCAUUCAUAAAUUACUUGGAGGUUCUAAGCAUCUCAGCGUCAGGUGGUCAAUCCCGAGUUUUAAUGUUCAUCCCGACAUAUUGCUACAAUUCCAGUACAGGACAAAUGGAUUCCUACCUUUGGGAUUUUUACUUGGUUUGGCCGUAUCGGAUCUCGGAUGUGCACAACAAAUUCAUAAGCAUUGGUUGCAACACAAUCGGGUACAUCUACAACACCGAAAAAUCGACAAGGUAUGCGACAGGGUGUGUGUCGGUGUGUGGGAGCCCGGGAGACCUGAAAAAUGGCUCGUGUGUUGGUGUAGGCUGCUGCCAGAACACCGUCCCCAAGGACUUAACGAGCUACCAUGUCUACUUCUAUGAUGUAGACUAUGUGGAUGUUUCAAAUAGUUGGCACUUCAACCCAUGCAGCUAUGCCAUGGUGGUGGAGGCAGAGACAUUCACUUUCAACUCCGAGUUCAUAACCACAAAGAGGUUCAAUGAUACCUACGAGGGGUGGCAGCCGGUUGUCCUUGACUGGGUGAUUGGAAAUGCAACAUGUGAGGUGGCACGCAGAAACAUGUCUUCUUAUGCAUGCCGGAGCGAAAACACCGUGUGCGUGGAUUCAUCCAACGGCCCAGGUUAUCUGUGCAACUGCUCCGUUGGAUACCAAGGGAAUCCUUACCUCUCUGGUGGAUGCACAGAUGUCAAUGAAUGUGAGCACACUCCAAGCCCCUGUCCUGAUUUUGCAACUUGCCGAAACACAGUUGGAGGGUACCAUUGUUCAUGUCCCUUUGGCAGCAGUUUUGCCAAGGAAACAAACUCUUGCACCAACCGGUUUAUAGUAUGGAUAUGUUUGCUGCGGCAUCGGGGCUCUAUUUCUUGCGUCAGUUUCAACUUUGUUGGUUCGGAUGUGGAAGAGAAGCAUGAAAAAUAGAGUUCGAAAGGCAUACUUUAGAAAAAACAAAGGUCUUGUCUUGGAACAGUUGAUCUCAUCCGAUGGAAGUGCCACACAUAGCACUAAAAUAUUUUCCUUGGACGAGUUAGAAAAGGCAACUGAUAAUUUUGACUCCACACGCAUUCUAGGCCUUGGAGGGCAUGGCACUGUUUACAAGGGGAUUUUAUCCGAUCAACGUGUUGUGGCCAUAAAAAAGUCCAAAAUGGCCGAUCAAAGAGAGAUUGAUCAAUUCAUAAAUGAGCUUGCAAUUUUAUCACAAAUCAGUCAUCGAAAUGUGGUGAAACUUUUUGGAUGUUACCUUGAGUCAGAGGUACCUUUGCUCGUGUAUGAGUUUGUCUCCAACGGGACAUUAUCUGAACUUCUUCAUGGUGACCACCUGAGUGGUAGAAGCUUGUUAACCUGGGGCAAUCGUAUCAGAAUUGCUAGCGAGGCGGCAAGUGCUCUUGCUUACCUCCAUUCCGCUGCCGCAAUACCAAUCUUUCAUAGAGAUGUGAAAUCUACCAACAUACUCUUAACAGAUAACCUCACUGCAAAGGUGGCAGACUUUGGUGCCUCGAGGUCCAUCUCCAUCGACGAAACUCAUGUGGUCACAGCAGUGCAGGGCACAUUCGGGUACUUGGAUCCUGAGUAUUACCACACCGGCGAGCUAACCGAGAAGAGUGAUGUUUACAGUUUCGGUGUGAUAAUUGGCGAGCUUCUGACUAGGAAGAAGCCGGUCUUCCUCAAUGCCCGGUGUGAAAAGCAAAACUUAUCUCAUUACUUCCUUCAAAUGCUACAAGAUAACGCCAUGAUGGAGAUCGUCGAUGUUCAAGUUCUCGAGGAAGGCAACGAUAGACAGAUCGCUGAGAUGGUUGCCCUUGCGAGGGUGUGCUUGAGGCACAGAGGGGAAGAGCAGCCUACCAUGAAAGAAGUGGAGCUUAGGCUGCAGCUCCUGAGAGGCAAGAUGAUAAUGGAGAAAAAACAUGAGUUAGAGAACGAGGGUGAAGCCAUACCAUUGUUACCUUCAAGCUGUUCCACUUAUUUCAGUGCUAGCUCCGGUCCACGGCACGGUGAGUUCUUCUCAGCUGCCAAUCAUUCAGCUCAGGAUGUCACCAGAUGCUACACUAUGGAGCAGGAGCUUGUUUCCUGGACCGACAUACCUCGCUGA
This 2278-nucleotide ribosomal RNA is filed under the name Triticum aestivum (bread wheat). RNAcentral describes it as "partial small subunit ribosomal RNA". The record is from RNAcentral. Lineage: Eukaryota; Viridiplantae; Streptophyta; Magnoliopsida; Poales; Poaceae.